Molecule: ribosomal RNA, 253 nt
Filed under: uncultured bacterium
Lineage: Bacteria
Description: partial 16S ribosomal RNA
Rfam family: Bacterial small subunit ribosomal RNA
Source: RNAcentral
UACGGGGGGGGUAAGCGUUGUUCGGAAUUACUGGGCGUAAAGGGCUCGUAGGCGGCCAACUAAGUCAUACGUGAAAUCCCUCAGCUUAACUGGGGAACUGCGUGUGAUACUGGAUGGCUUGGAUUUGGGAGAGGGAUGCGGAAUUCCAGGUGUAGCGGUGAAAUGCGUAGAUAUCUGGAGGAAUACCGGUGGCGAAGGCGGCAUCCUGGACCAUUACUGACGCUGAGGCGCGAAAGCUAGGGGAGCAAACGGG